Molecule: long non-coding RNA, 2472 nt
Organism: Meleagris gallopavo (turkey)
Lineage: Eukaryota; Metazoa; Chordata; Aves; Galliformes; Phasianidae
Source: RefSeq, a predicted model, not a curated record
GAUGGGAAACGAGUGUGAUUACUGCCAUGCAGAUCACAGAAUCUUUUAACUUUUUGUCUUAUUACCUCCCCCAGAUUACUGAUGGAGAACGUGCGCAUUUAUCAGCAAUUCGGUAUGAAUAAUCCAGGUUUAGGAACAAUUAAUUGUGAAGAUGGAAAUCUCCAGGAGAAAACCUCAGAAUGUCGCCUGGAGCAUUCUGAGACCUUUGUGGUGCAUUCAGGAAGUUGUAGUGCAGAGGUCUGGUAUAAAUCUUGAGUCAGAACCUAAUUCUCCCCACUUGGCACCUUGUUCACUUAUGUUGGUGCAAGAGUGCAAGGAAAAUAUCACUGAGCUUCCUUUGCAUAUGCACACUGACUAGUAAAGAGCAGACAGACGUGUUCUUAAAAAUAACAAUCUAUUUAUGUGUUAUGUGACUAUAGCAGGGACUAAAAGAGCUCGCAUAUUUCAUUAAUGUUGCUACAGAAUUGUAAAUCUUACCUUUAUUGUCUAACCUUUUAAAUUAUUUAUUAUUUUAAAUGAAGGUAGCACAACUUGAAUGAUCCUUCCCAUUUUAGAUGGGCACCUUGAUAAUACAAAGGCAGUAAAUAAGCAUAGAAAACCAAAGAUUAGGAACUAAUCUAACAGUUGGAGCUAAUGGGUUUCUUUCCUCCAAUGUCAUUUGGCAGCACGAGGACACUACUGAAUUGCAAAUAUUCAGCUUUGCAUUGGAAACACAUACGGCUGAUACUAGCAGAACACAUUGCUAAAGUUCUCAGGAGCUCAGCUUAGAGCUUGCCCGGUAUUGUUGCUGGUGUACUGGUUGUUCUGGCUUUGGCUGGGAUGGAGUUAGAGCAGCUAGUACAGUGGCAGUCUUGGAUCUGUGAUCAAAACAGCACUGAAAACAAAACGAUGUUAUAAUUGUUACAGAACUGUGCUUACAUAGCAUGAAGGCUUUUUCUGUUUCUCAGGCUGCCCUGCCACUGAGCAUCUCCAGCACACAAGGCUGGGAGGAGCACAGCCAGGACAGCUGACCCCAGGGUAUCCCUUACCCUCUGACAUCAUGUUCCUCAGUAAGAGCUGGGGGAAGGACACAAAGAGGGAGGAGCCUGUCCAGAUCAGCUGUGCAGCAAGACAAACACCUGGAGAGCACACAACAGCCCGUCCUUCCUCAUUUCUCUUAAACAAAGGCUUUCCUGUGUAGUAGGAGGAGCUCCUGCAAGCAUCAGUGCUUUUCUCCUUAACAUCUCCUUUGACUGAUACAUCAGCAAAGGGUGCCAAGCCUGCUAUGAACUCAGCUCAGCACUUUCACCAGCCUUAACAGAACUUUUACUGAAACAAUUAAUUCUAAACGUGGUUUUGGAAGGUCUCUACCUAUUCUACACCUGAGAGAGACAUUCAGCUAUGUUCCUUUUAGGAUAAAACAGCCAAAUAGUGAGGUUAAAAGAGUUGAAGUUGGUGGCAGACUUCACAGGACUGAGAUCUUGAAUCAUCUAGUCACGGGGUUUCGGAUACUGAAUUGCUUUGAAAAUUGAAAGAGUUCACUGAAAACAAAAGAAGUAGAGAGGUGAUUACCUGCAGUCUGGAAAUACUUUUCUCUGAUGCUCUAAUCUGAUCAAUUUAGCUGAACAGCUGAAAAUACACAGCAAGUGAAAUGAGUAAAUAAUUCAGAGGAUGCCUCCUGGGGUGGCUAGCAGACGUGCUUGGUGGCUGUGGCUGGCAGCUUGAUUAGCACAGAAGACUAUUACACAGAAUAGAGGUAAUAAUACAGACAUGGAAAUCUUAUCAGAACCAUAACCUUGCACUAGCCACAACAACGGUUUCACAGCCAACAGUCAAAUAGCUCAGGGGGUGAAAGAAGAGCAGCCAGGCAUCUAGAUGCUGCUCUUGGCAAGGACUGCCAGAGCUUGGUAGUUGCCAGAAUUUUCCCAUGUGGAGUCAAAGGGUCUUGGCUCUUAUGCUGUAACAGAAAGAGAAGCAAGGCAAAAUGAAGCAUUUUGAACAUAUUGAGUAUCACCACAACAGGAAAGAGUGGUGCCAAAUCUGUACUGAAUGACCCAUCUGUGCCAGCUUGCUUUGUGGCACUGACAGGAGUUAAGGUGAGCAAGCUGGACAGGUUGGGAAGGGUGGCAGCUUUAUACAUCUGGGCACUGCUCAGCUCACCUUGUGCAGAGAUUGUUUGACCAACAGGAUGCAGCAGAAGUAGUUCAGUAGUAUUGAUCCAAUGAAGUAUCUGACUUUGCAGCUAGAAUCUGAACUGCAGGCUACAGGCAGCAAGAUGACACAAUAGCUAACUAGCGAGCAAGGCAUAAGACGUCAUGUAGAAAGAGUUUUGAAAGGAGUGUGAGUUCAUCUCCCCCUCUUCUGCUGUUCAGGGACUAGCUGGACACUGGUCAGUGGCUGGUGAGCAACUGCUUCCAUAUCACUUGUUAUAUACACUAGUAUAUGUGAAUAUAUGACUAUUACCCUUUUUUCUGUCUUAGUAAAUAUUUUUAU